RNAcentral lists this ribosomal RNA (504 nucleotides) under uncultured bacterium. Its description in RNAcentral is "partial 16S ribosomal RNA". It matches the Rfam family "Bacterial small subunit ribosomal RNA", at positions 29 to 523 of the family's 1533-position model. The record is from RNAcentral.
AUUGAACGCUGGCGGCAGGCCUAACACAUGCAAGUCGAACGGUAGCACAGAGAGCUUGCUCUCGGGUGACGAGUGGCGGACGGGUGAGUAAUGUCUGGGAAACUGCCCGAUGGAGGGGGAUAACUACUGGAAACGGUAGCUAAUACCGCAUAACGUCGCGAGACCAAAGUGGGGGACCUUCGGGCCUCACCACAUCGGAUGUGCCCAGAUGGGAUUAGCUAGUAGGUGGGGUAAUGGCUCACCUAGGCGACGAUCCCUAGCUGGUCUGAGAGGAUGACCAGCCACACUGGAACUGAGACACGGUCCAGACUCCUACGGGAGGCAGCAGUGGGGAAUAUUGCACAAUGGGCGCAAGCCUGAUGCAGCCAUGCCGCGUGUAUGAAGAAGGCCUUCGGGUUGUAAAGUACUUUCAGCGGGGAGGAAGGCGGUGAGGUUAAUAACCUCGCCGAUUGACGUUACCCGCAGAAGAAGCACCGGCUAACUCCGUGCCAGCAGCCGCCGUAA